UACGUAGGGUGCAAGCGUUGUCCGGAAUUAUUGGGCGUAAAGAGCUCGUAGGCGGUUUGUCGCGUCUGCUGUGAAAACCCGAGGCUCAACCUCGGGCCUGCAGUGGGUACGGGCAGACUAGAGUGCGGUAGGGGAGAUUGGAAUUCCUGGUGUAGCGGUGGAAUGCGCAGAUAUCGAGGAGGAACACCGAUGGCGAAGGCAGA
RNAcentral lists this ribosomal RNA (203 nucleotides) under uncultured bacterium. RNAcentral's name for it is "partial 16S ribosomal RNA". It matches the Rfam family "Bacterial small subunit ribosomal RNA", at positions 524 to 725 of the family's 1533-position model. The record is from RNAcentral.